AGCCGCUAGUCUACCUCGUUCUUUGGUUUUGGUUUCUCUGCUCCCUUUCGUAAAAACAUGAUUAUUUUCUGCUUUUAAUUUUACUUACAAUGCUAAAUUUUGUAUGCUGGGAGAAGAGAUCACAGUGAUGACUCAGGAAAUUCAAGCUCAACAGACCGGAAUGCAGGCCUCUCUUUUUCUAGAGAGCUUUGCGUGUCGACCUUCCCGCUGACCUGAGUGAUCCUUUUCUCUUACGAAAUUGACAUUUCCUUUUUGGUUUCUGGCCUAAAAGGUCUAUCUAGUGGUUUUCGUCUCUUAAAUUUUAGCUGUUGAUUUGAUUUGAUUAUCUUCUUGUUCUGAAAUAGGAGAAGUUGGGGGUAAUUGAGGUUGCAAUGAGGAUUCACAGCUCCCUCUUCUGAGUUCAAGUUGAGGAAAUCAGCUGGCAGAAUCGAACCUAUGACUUAUUAGCCAUCACUGAGCAAUCUCCUUCCCUAUUCUCAAGUUUUUGGCUCUCUUUAUAACCCCAUUUUAAAUAAAAUAAUUUUAAAUAUUUAGAUUUGGUUUUAUUUCCGUAAUUAGUUUUGUGUGAUUUGCUGUGGGAAAUUGAACGUUGCUAUCAGGAUUAACAGCUCCCUCUUCUGUCUAUAUCAUUUGAAGAGAACAGAGUAUGUUUUGAAUUCAAUAUGAUUAUACGUGAUAGAUAAGGAUGAAGCAAUAAUACAAUAAUCCAACACUUGAUCUGAUACUUUCAUAGUCAAGUGAUGUUAACAUAUUGACUUCUGAAUCUGCUUAAUUUUUAGUUCCACUUUCCCACUUUUGUAAGCUGUGUUAUGGAUGGUGGAUUUCAAUGAUAGAAACAAUACUGAGUGUGCCUGCCUGGGUUUGAGGGGUUAAGUAGAUGAAAAUAUUUUUUUUUUAAAAAUUGCCUUUAAUUUAAAACUGGAAAGAAACUAAUGUUUAAACCUUUUUCCUCCUUGUCAAUCAUCAAAUGAUGAAACUUGGAAGAUCUUAGGACACCUUCCUACAUAGCUUUUACAGCUAUGGAUGAGAAUAACAUUUCCGUUCUGAUGAUGAUGGUGGUGAAAUCUUCAUUUUGUCUGCAUUUAUUUUUACCGCUGUUUUUCGAAGCAUAAAUCUUUUAAAAUUGAUGGAGCCAGUGGUUUAUUGAUUUUCCAAUUGUAUCUCUGGGGGGAAAUUAAUUUUGAUUGUUUGGUUUAUUUCAAGAUUUGAUUGGAUGGCGGCUUGAUCGCAAUGAUGACUUGAAAAAUUCAAGCUCAACAGACUGGAUUACAAGCUUUCGCUCUGAGAAGCUUGUAUGUCGACAAUGACAACAUUCUGAGUGAUCUCUUAAUCACAUUAUAGUGUUAAGAGCUAUCUAAUGCUUAUUCACACGCCAAGUAUCACUCUCACUUGGAAUGUUGAAAAUUUGUAUGGUUGCUUAAUAGGAUGAUAGAUUCUUUGCACCCAUUCCCACAAUUUUUUAUUUUUUUUGUCGCUCAGUGUGGUUCUUUAUUGUCCAUUGUAUUGGAAUUAGUGGUAUCCAAAUUACUCUCUUCGCUUUUCCUUACCAACUGCAUGUUGCAAUAAGCUGCAAAGCUAUAAACUUGCUGAAGUUUCUAAUGAGGUCUACAAUACAUAGAUUGUCUGCUGCUUGAACUAAUUUGUUUGUGAAUUUUGUACGUUAGGACUAGGAGAUAUGUUUUUUUUGGGGGAUAUUGUUAAAUGCUUGUUCAAUUUACUUGCUAUUAGCAUAUGAGGAUCUGUAGCCUUAGGUAGUCAACAUACCUAGGAGGAAAGCAAUCUCAGGUGUAUGUCAGAAGUCAAAAUUUAAACGACUUCUCCAUCAAGGCUGAUUUGUACUUUUGGAUGACCUUUCAACUGAGAGUUCGACUCUUGUUUACGUAAAGUAGAUCAUAUAGGAAACUUUUUGCUUCUGUCCGUGGUAUCCUCUGUUGUACUUGCGUUCUAAUUGCUGGUUGUAUCUCAAGUACAUGUGAAGAAGCUCAACUUGGUUUAGAGCACCGACUGCAUUUGUAUAAUCUUGUAUUUUACUGCAAGCGUCUCAUAGCCAGGUGAAUGAGAUGCAUCAUGUAGAAAUGUUGCAACUUGUGAGUUGGGUGAGCUUGUGAGUUGGGUGAGCUAUGUUAUAUCGGGGAAAAUUUCAUUGAUUACCAUAUGUGUUUGUAGGCUAUUUGUCAAAACAAUCGAUAGCAUUGAUAGUGUGAUGUCAUUUAAACUCAAUUCAGCUAAGCUUUUUUAUCCUAAAAAUUUAGAAUCGGUUAUAUAGAUUCGUUUACUUCACUCUAAACGAUUUUGGAUUAAA
This 2302-nucleotide unclassified non-coding RNA is filed under the name Hevea brasiliensis (rubber tree). The stretch from base 677 to 768 matches the Rfam family "Small nucleolar RNA snoR31". Lineage: Eukaryota; Viridiplantae; Streptophyta; Magnoliopsida; Malpighiales; Euphorbiaceae. The record is from RNAcentral.